ACUCGCCAGGGGGCGGGGUAGUUAGCGCCAGCCGCGAAGUGCUACAGCUGCUCGGUUCCGGUUACCCCAGCGCCCAGCCUGCAGGCCCGGGCCGCCCCUGCCCGCGUGGCUCCAGGGGGCCCGGCAGCUCCCUGCCUGGAGCAGAAAAGGACCUGCGGCUGCUGUGAGCGGGGAAACCUGUGCACAGGGAGCACACGGCAGCGGCCUAGCUCUCACUCUCAGAGGACUUCCCGAGACUGGAUUAAUGAUAGUGGUGGCCUUGGCUGGCAGCCCCCAACACAGGAACUGAGCGGAAUGAAUGGACGACGCACCUUUAGCUGGAGCCUGGCAAGGGUCGAAGUCUCCCUGGCACUGAAGCUGCACAGGAUUCUUUUUGGCAUAUGUGAAGAAGUGUACCUCGGGAUACUGUAGACAGCACUCCACUAGCACCAGAAGACGGGAUUAUAGCAGCCCAGGAACUAAAAGGCCAGGUAUCAAUCCAGAAUCCUCUACAGACCUGCAUCACUCUGCCACCAGUACAACGUGUUCUGUUAUAAACAGACACAGAACAACAUCUCUGGGGUAUUACUGAAAUCUCUUCGGCAACAGGAAAAGGGCUGAAUUAAAUUCCAGCGUGUUUUCCUAGAUGUAGCCAAACAUCUUGAUUCACUGAAAGUCUCAUGUACAUCUCUGCUACAUGAUCAUUCUAUAGAUGCUGCAGUCCCUCCCCCCAUCUCCACAAAGCCAGCACCUCUGACCUCUGGACUGGUAAAGGCAAGCAAGACUGCAAGCCAUUUCCUUUCUUCACCUUGAACCCCUAUGGAAUCUGAACUGAGGUCCUUUCAGAUGGCCAGAUCCUACUCUCCAUAUGUAACUUACUGCUGAAAGAAGCCUCUGUACCAGAUCAUUGGAAAAUAAUUAACAUAAUGCAGACUUUUUAAAAGGCUCCAGAGGUGAUCCUGGCAAACAAGCCAGUAAGUCUACCUCCAGUACCAGGCAAACUGGUAGAAACUAUACUAAAGAACAGAAUUAUCAGGCACACAGAUGAACACGAGUCAAUACAGCUUUUGUAAAGGGAAAUUACACCUAACCAAUCUAUUUGAAUUAUUUGAGGGAAUCAGUAAGCAUGUGGACAAGGGUGAUCCAAUCGAUAUAGUGUACUUGGAUUUUCAGAAAGUCUUUGACAAGGUCCCUCACCAAAGUCUCUUACGGAAACUAGUCAUAGAAUAACAGUGAAAGUACUCUCAUGGAUCAGUAACUGGUUAAAAGAUAGAAACCAAAAGGUAGGAAUAAACAGCCAGUUUUCACAAUGGA
This is a long non-coding RNA of Gopherus evgoodei (Goodes thornscrub tortoise), 1293 nucleotides long. RefSeq lists it as uncharacterized. The record is from RefSeq and is a predicted model, not a curated record. The transcript has 3 exons. NCBI's taxonomy places the organism in Eukaryota, Metazoa, Chordata, Testudines, Testudinidae.